This 465-nucleotide ribosomal RNA is filed under the name uncultured bacterium. Its description in RNAcentral is "partial 16S ribosomal RNA". It matches the Rfam family "Bacterial small subunit ribosomal RNA", at positions 28 to 507 of the family's 1533-position model. The record is from RNAcentral.
GAUGAACGCUGGCGGCGUGCUUAACACAUGCAAGUCGAACGGAAAGGCCCAAGCUUGCUUGGGUACUCGAGUGGCGAACGGGUGAGUAACACGUGGGUAAUCUGCCCUUCACUUCGGGAUAAGCCUUGGAAACUGGGUCUAAUACCGGAUAGGACCACAUUUUGGAUGGUGUGGUGGAGAGUUUUUCGGUGUGGGAUGAGCUCGCGGCCUAUCAGCUUGUUGGUGGGGUAAUGGCCUACCAAGGCGUCGACGGGUAGCCGGCCUGAGAGGGUGUACGGCCACAUUGGGACUGAGAUACGGCCCAGACUCCUACGGGAGGCAGAAGUGGGGAAUAUUGCACAAUGGGCGGAAGCCUGAUGCAGCGACGCCGCGUGGGGGAUGACGGCCUUCGGGUUGUAAACUCCUUUCGCUAGGGACGAAGCGCAAGUGACGGUAACUGGAGAAGAAGCACCGGCUAACUACGUG